CAAGAGCGUAUGUAAAAGUUGUUGCAGUUAAAAAGCUCGUAGUUGAACCUUGGGUUUGGUUGGCCGGUCCGCUUUUUUGCGAGUACUGGAUUCAACCGAGCCUUUCCUUCUGGCUAACCAGUCGUUUCGGCGGCUGGCGAACCAGGAUUUUUACUUUGAGAAAAUUAGAGUGUUCAAAGCAGGCAUUAGCUUGAAUAUAUUAGCAUGGAAUAAUAGAAUAGGACGUUAUGGUUCUAUUUUGUUGGUUUCUAGGACCAUCGUAAUGAUUAAUAGGGACGGUCGGGGGCAUCAGUAUUCAGUUGUCAGAGGUGAAAUUCUUGGAUUUACUGAAGACUAACUACUGCGAAAGCAUUUGCCAAGGACGUUUCCAUUAA
This 374-nucleotide ribosomal RNA is filed under the name uncultured eukaryote. RNAcentral describes it as "partial 18S ribosomal RNA". It matches the Rfam family "Eukaryotic small subunit ribosomal RNA", at positions 592 to 976 of the family's 1831-position model. The record is from RNAcentral.